GUUUAUUCCUUCUGCAGAGUGUGGAUUAUGCCCUGGCCAUGUCCUCAUGUUUCCCAACGGCUGGGAGUCAGAAAUUGAGUGACCUGGGAGCACCUUUGUUGUGCCAUCUAUAGCAAAAAGACACUUGGGUGCAAGUGGGAAUCUUGAGUCACUUUGAGGAGCAUUGCACAAAGCCCUAUGUCUUCAGCCAAGUGCACCCUUUCCUUUUCUGGCUCCAGGAAGUGACAUGGCCUAGCCAUGCAUCCUGGCACCACCAAGGGCCCGUGACUGCCUCUGCUUCCAUGUCCCUUUCAGUCUCUACCUCUACAAAUGCCUCAGCUUUUACCUCCACUCCCAAUUCCAUUCGGCCACACUACAUCUCUCUGCCACAGCCUCAGAGAAUCCUGAAGACACUGCUGUGAUUAUUGGCCUGACGCACCCUGUGGUACCACUGAGAGUUGUGAAGUUGUCUACCAUUCUACUGCAUGAGUUGCAGUAGAACCCCUGGCUGGUGAGAGGGGCAGCAAGAAAUGACCUGACAUUGCUACUCCUCCAAGAUGUCCAGACUACCAUUCGGCUCUUAGUACCCUUAGGGAGUCAGUGUGUCCAGGAAGUGACAUUAUCUGCAGACCAAUACUGGCAAUGGCAGUUGGAGACAAAUAGGCUUCACCAGUCUCAAAGCCCUACCUACUACAAUGAGUCCACACUUCUCCUGGAUUUUAUCUACUUCAGCAAAAGAAGGCCACCCACCAAACCAGGCCAUUGUGCUUUGGGUGGAAACUCCUAAGUCCUAUAGUCUCCUUAAACAGCCAACCACACUGCCACUUUCCUCAAUAAUUACUGCAGCCCUGAGACUUUGGUAGCCUAGUAACUAUAACUACUGAUGCUACAGUCUGGUCACAGUAUGAUAAAACACCAGAGCAACAAAAACAAAAAUAUUGACUUAAGCCUUCUAAAAUCUCUCUAAAUAUACCUUCAAUAAAUAUGUUUUUUUCUACAGAACAACUGCUUUCUACUUCCUGAACUAACGUUUGGCCUUGGAUUUUUCUCAUUGUUGAAAUUGAUUCAAAAGUAUACAUUUAACAUGAAGGUGAUUAUAGAAUUUCAUGUGUCAGCAACUAAAAUUUUCAAAAUGAU
This 1116-nucleotide long non-coding RNA is filed under the name Homo sapiens (human). RNAcentral's name for it is "HSALNT0288007". Lineage: Eukaryota; Metazoa; Chordata; Mammalia; Primates; Hominidae. The record is from RNAcentral.